RNAcentral lists this transfer RNA (69 nucleotides) under Tomoplagia incompleta. RNAcentral describes it as "tRNA-Trp". It matches the Rfam family "tRNA". From Rfam's summary of the family: Transfer RNA (tRNA) molecules are approximately 80 nucleotides in length. Their secondary structure includes four short double-helical elements and three loops (D, anti-codon, and T loops). Further hydrogen bonds mediate the characteristic L-shaped molecular structure. tRNAs have two regions of fundamental functional importance: the anti-codon, which is responsible for specific mRNA codon recognition, and the 3' end, to which the tRNAs corresponding amino acid is attached (by aminoacyl-tRNA synthetases). tRNAs cope with the degeneracy of the genetic code in two manners: having more than one tRNA (with a specific anti-codon) for a particular amino acid; and 'wobble' base-pairing, i.e. permitting non-standard base-pairing at the 3rd anti-codon position. Lineage: Eukaryota; Metazoa; Arthropoda; Insecta; Diptera; Tephritidae. The record is from RNAcentral.
AAGGCUUUAAGUUAAAGAAACUAAUAGCCUUCAAAGCUAUAAAUAUAAGUCUUAAUCUUUUAAGCCUUA